AAGGAGACAGAAAACCAAGUCUGGUUGAUGAGGCAUGGCCAAUAGACCAGAGCGUGAUUAACAAUAGCUCCCAUAGCCCACGGGUUAUGAUGCCGUAGAUGAUCGUUCUUUGCCCCAACCUCGGUGUGCUGAGAUGGUCUAAUGGCUGUCUGACAGACU
RNAcentral lists this small nucleolar RNA (159 nucleotides) under Nicotiana sylvestris (wood tobacco). RNAcentral describes it as "Plant small nucleolar RNA U3". It matches the Rfam family "Plant small nucleolar RNA U3", at positions 60 to 221 of the family's 221-position model. From Rfam's summary of the family: Small nucleolar RNAs (snoRNAs) are involved in the processing and modification of rRNA in the nucleolus. There are two main classes of snoRNAs: the box C/D class, and the box H/ACA class. Lineage: Eukaryota; Viridiplantae; Streptophyta; Magnoliopsida; Solanales; Solanaceae. The record is from Rfam by way of RNAcentral.